This is a long non-coding RNA of Mya arenaria, 260 nucleotides long. RefSeq lists it as uncharacterized. Lineage: Eukaryota; Metazoa; Mollusca; Bivalvia; Myida; Myidae. The transcript is spliced from 3 exons. The record is from RefSeq and is a predicted model, not a curated record.
UGGAACGUUGGAUAAAUGUGUCCGUUUCUGUUAACAUCAAACCAGAUAUAGGUUCUUUGUGUACAACUUCCAGAAAUUGUGCUGAAAUUCUCUCUUUUGACCCACCUUUUGUUUGUGAAAACUCUGAGUGCAAAUUAGGUGUUGGAGGAAAGAAUUGCACAACUAGAUUGAGCUCUUGCUUAACAAACGGGCAGUGUACUUCGGAUACUUGUGAAUGCGUUGAAGGCUUUAAUGCAGUGGAUUUGGAUAACAAAUGUCAC